RNAcentral lists this long non-coding RNA (738 nucleotides) under Homo sapiens (human). RNAcentral's name for it is "non-protein coding lnc-CSF1R-2:1". Lineage: Eukaryota; Metazoa; Chordata; Mammalia; Primates; Hominidae. The record is from RNAcentral.
GAGUACAUCUACGUGGACCCCAUGCAGCUGCCCUAUGACUCCACGUGGGAGCUGCCGCGGGACCAGCUUGUGCUGGGACGCACCCUCGGCUCUGGGGCCUUUGGGCAGGUGGUGGAGGCCACGGCUCAUGGCCUGAGCCAUUCUCAGGCCACGAUGAAAGUGGCCGUCAAGAUGCUUAAAUGUGAGUAGUCCUUGGAGCCCUCCACAUCUGGGCCUUCACCUCUCCCUGCCCCUCCCCACACACUUAGCCUCUCCCAGGGUGGCCUGAUGCUGAUUUGCAGGCACUAGAGGGGCCAUCACACUGCAGCAGGCACUGCUCCCGAGUCUGGGUCUGGUUUGGGAAAGAGCGUUCCUCUCCCUGGCCUCCUCGGCCUGCUUCCCCCUACCCUGGCCUCUUCCCCUCCUCAGAGUGUGGGUGCUCACCCCCGCCAGGCUGCCUGGGUCUUGCAGCACAGGGCGGGGCAGAAGAGUCAGAAUAGGCUCCUGUGGUGGGGCCUCCAUGGAGCCUCCAUGACUGGGCCUGGCCUGGGGCCCCCAUUUUCCUCAGCCACAGCCCGCAGCAGUGAGAAGCAAGCCCUUAUGUCGGAGCUGAAGAUCAUGAGUCACCUUGGGCCCCACCUGAACGUGGUCAACCUGUUGGGGGCCUGCACCAAAGGAGGUACCGAGCCCACUGCCCCAGAGGCCUCAGGGAAAGUGCCCACCACCAAGGCCAGGCCCCGCCUACCCCCCCCUCAGGCC